ACCCUGUCCUUACUCCUCUGAGAACCACCUCAUGCUGCUGCUGGUUCCCCUGCAGGCCUCCACUGCUGGUACUGACAAGAUUCAUGGCAGCAGCAGGAUCUGGGCUUAGGUGGUGGGACAGGGCUCUUCCUCACAGCCACUGCUGUGCUCUGCUCCUCAUAAAUAGGAGGCAGUGUCCUAACUGGUGUGAUCCAGCCUCUACAGUCACACAGGUGCAGAUCAAAUGAAGCCCAGAGCAGCAAAGGCCUUUGCUUUGUCUAAUUGGCUGAGAACAAGCAAACAAGAGAGAGACUAUGCAAGCUGGUAGCAUCACAAUAAUGUCAAGUUUUCUGUUUUCUGGAGCAAUUCUAGUGCUUCUGUAACAUCUGGGGAUGGCACGGCCUGCAUUACUGAUGAAGCUGGAUAUUUUUUCUUCUACCUUUUUCUUCAUCGAAGAACAAUUAUUGCACUUGCAUAUUUCACUGCUUCUGCCCCCUACCACACAUUUUCCUCCUGACUACUUCUGUCCUGAUGACCUCUUUGAAGACGGUUAAAAUAAUAUUCCAGGCUGACAGAAGAACCAGAAAGGGAGAU
This is a non-coding RNA of Cyanistes caeruleus (blue tit), 573 nucleotides long. NCBI's taxonomy places the organism in Eukaryota, Metazoa, Chordata, Aves, Passeriformes, Paridae. The record is from RefSeq and is a predicted model, not a curated record.